This 336-nucleotide long non-coding RNA is filed under the name Panax ginseng (ginseng). RNAcentral's name for it is "long non-coding RNA (PGIN_LNC000321)". Lineage: Eukaryota; Viridiplantae; Streptophyta; Magnoliopsida; Apiales; Araliaceae. The record is from RNAcentral.
GCAAAGGCACCGAUCUUACCUAUCUUAGGAAGAAAGCUAGAACUAUGAGUGAAGAAAGAAGGGAAGAUAAUUGCUCUCUUGCCGCUGCUAGUCUCUUGUUAGUAGUAAUAGCGGUAGGUGGGAACUCUUUUGAAAGAAGAGACGAUUUAGUCUCAAUCAAAGAGAAAAGAGAUUACAAAUAAGCGAAAGGGCAUGCAGUCUAUUGAUCAAAAGGGGCCAUCGGCCAUACAUGCAGGGCCGGUACACGGCCAAUCAAAACAAAAAUCAAAGUGAAAGGAAAGGGGCACACAGGCCAGGGGCUUCUUGGCGCGCAGGCCCCCCUUCACAAACUAUGGG